GAUGAACGCUGGCGGCGUGCCUAAUACAUGCAAGUCGAGCGAACAGACGAGGAGCUUGCUCCUCUGACGUUAGCGGCGGACGGGUGAGUAACACGUGGAUAACCUACCUAUAAGACUGGAAUAACUUCGGGAAGCCGGAGCUAAUACCGGAUAAUAUAUUGAACCGCAUGGUUCAAUAGUGAAAGACGGUUUUGCUGUCACUUAUAGAUGGAUCCGCGCCGCAUUAGCUAGUUGGUAAGGUAACGGCUUACCAAGGCAACGAUGCGUAGCCGACCUGAGAGGGUGAUCGGCCACACUGGAACUGAGACACGGUCCAGACUCCUACGGGAGGCAGCAGUAGGGAAUCUUCCGCAAUGGGCGAAAGCUUGACGGAGCAACGCCGCGUGAGUGAUGAAGGUCUUCGGAUCGUAAAACUCUGUUAUUAGGGAAGAACAAAUGUGUAAGUAACUAUGCACGUCUUGACGGUACCUAAUCAGAAAGCCACGGCUAACUACGUG
This 497-nucleotide ribosomal RNA is filed under the name uncultured bacterium. RNAcentral describes it as "partial 16S ribosomal RNA". It matches the Rfam family "Bacterial small subunit ribosomal RNA", at positions 28 to 507 of the family's 1533-position model. The record is from RNAcentral.